RNAcentral lists this unclassified non-coding RNA (234 nucleotides) under Hevea brasiliensis (rubber tree). Lineage: Eukaryota; Viridiplantae; Streptophyta; Magnoliopsida; Malpighiales; Euphorbiaceae. The record is from RNAcentral.
AAAUAAGAAAUAACCACGUAGUAAUAUUCAAAAGAGAACUCAACUUCCAUUUUCAUUUUUAAUUUGUAUAUCAAGCACAAAUGGUCAAAGGACAUUAAUAUGUCAGUUAACGUAAAAACAAAUGAAUGGGAUAUCAUUUUAUUAUUACAAUCCUUGUCAUUUUUAUACUAUUCAAAUCCACUCCAUUCUAGCAUGCUGUAACAAACAUAAACUAUGGGCACUGAAAAAAAAAAA